Molecule: ribosomal RNA, 463 nt
Filed under: uncultured bacterium
Lineage: Bacteria
Description: bacterial SSU rRNA
Rfam family: Bacterial small subunit ribosomal RNA
Source: RNAcentral
CCUACGGGCUGCACCAGUGGGGAAUAUUGCACAAUGGGCGCAAGCCUGAUGCAGCCAUGCCGCGUGUACGAAGAAGGCCUUCGGGUUGUAAAGUACUUUCAGCGGGGAGGAAGGUGUUGCGGUUAAUAACCACAGCAAUUGACGUUACCCGCAGAAGAAGCACCGGCUAACUCCGUGCCAGCAGCCGCGGCAAUACGGAGGGUGCAAGCGUUAAUCGGAAUUACUGGGCGUAAAGCGCACGCAGGCGGUCCGUCAAGUCGGAUGUGAAAUCCCCGGGCUCAACCUGGGAACUGCAUUCGAAACUGGCAGGCUAGAGUCUUGUAGAGGGGGUAGAAUUCCAGGUGUAGCGGUGAAAUGCGUAGAGAUCUGGGGGAAUACCGGUGGCGAAGGCGGCCCCCUGGACAAAGACUGACGCUCAGGUGCGAAAGCGUGGGGAGCAAACAGGAUUAGAUACCGAGUAGUC